This is a long non-coding RNA of Poecilia latipinna (sailfin molly), 590 nucleotides long. RefSeq lists it as uncharacterized. The record is from RefSeq and is a predicted model, not a curated record. The transcript has 2 exons. Lineage: Eukaryota; Metazoa; Chordata; Actinopteri; Cyprinodontiformes; Poeciliidae.
AGGAGCAAUUUGCUGUUCACGGUUCCUGGUCUUUUGCAGAACCCCUGUGGUCUCUAACUGCUUCACAUCCAGCAUCAAGUUUCUGCUUGGAUUCCAACAAACGACCCAGAGUUUAAAGAGUCUCUGUGCGAUAGAAGAACGGAGAGAGAGAGCAACACAGAACGAUUUAUCCAGCUGGACUCCAGGUUCGUCCUUGGGAACUGCCAGCGUCUGAAAUGAAGGUGCCACAGAAACUGAAUGAGGAGCCGGAGGGUCCAACCGCCCAAGGACGUCCAUCAGUCUUCGGACGAACAGAACCAGCUGGACCGCUUCCUCCAAUCCCUCAUCUUUCACUUUCAACUGAAACAGUCAGACAGCUGAGGGGAGAUGAACACGGAGAGGAAUCGGGGUGGAUCCCAUCAGAACCAGCGGGGAUACCACGGGUCGAGGUCGGGAACAACGAAGAGCAAAGACAGAAACAUUGAGAUGUGAAUAUAAAAUAAAGAUGUGGUGCAGGGAUGGAGCUCUAGUUUCCAUGGGUUUGCUGGAAAACGAGGACUGGACUCCAGACUGGUAAAAACUGCAGCCUGACAGGAGCAAAAGACGUACAA